AUCUUAACUUUUUCUGAUAUCUUGAAUGUAACAAUGUAACAAUGAAUUGGCAACUGCGCCAAAUUGAUAAGCAGGUUUUUUAGGCCUACUUAUUUGCUGAAGGGUGUGAGGUUCAGUUCAAUUCCCCUACAAACACUAACAUGUCGAUGCAGCUAUAGUGGGUGUCAAUCCAGUCCACUGUUAUUGCUAGCAAUCAAGAUGUGUACAUAAGCAACUAAGUCAAGCCAGAUUAUAAUGAUGGUGGGUUUCUAGUAACAAUCCUAGGUCAAGAUUCAAACACGAAAAUGAGAACUUUAAGAGCCCUACUCGAUCAUUGGGUCGUGUAGAACCAACAGGCAACAAAAUUAAGUAACUAAAAUGCAAUCAACAAAGGAUACAAAUAACAGGUAAAUAAAAGUGCAAUCAACAGGGGAUACAAAUAAAUCUAAUAGAAGUUCUAAGGAUGGAUUCAUUGAUAAGGGCAACUCUCGGGUUCAUCAGAUGGCUAACAGGUGAAAGGUAGAUACCCUUGACGAUAGAUUCAAAAACUGGGUCAAUCCACUGUCGUGACAAAGACCGCCAUAACACUACCACUUCCUAAUCUCAACUGUCGUUGAUGAAACAUAGAAGAGCAGGGUUUAAGAAACAAUCUACCAAAGCCAAUAAGCAGACAAGCCAAUGUCUUGGUCGAGUCUACAAAUAUCUGGAAUUCGUAGAUCAGACAUCCAUUUGAACGUCUUUUGGAUGCUAGACGUCUAUGAUCGAAUCUCCACAUUAGCCAGCAAAAACCGCAUAGGGGCCAAGCGAAUCCAGAAGGGUUCUAACCUAAUCUUAACCACCUAACUAACGUAGAGAUUACCCUAAUCUAAUCCAUCCUCAAGAACCCUAAUCACUACUCAAGCAACAUUCUCAAGAACACAAACCCAAAAUUUA
This 912-nucleotide small RNA is filed under the name Arabidopsis thaliana (thale cress). Its description in RNAcentral is "ATSL086670". Lineage: Eukaryota; Viridiplantae; Streptophyta; Magnoliopsida; Brassicales; Brassicaceae. The record is from RNAcentral.